Molecule: long non-coding RNA, 825 nt
Organism: Notolabrus celidotus (New Zealand spotty)
Lineage: Eukaryota; Metazoa; Chordata; Actinopteri; Labriformes; Labridae
Exons: 3
Source: RefSeq, a predicted model, not a curated record
GUUUCACCUGUGUCCUGUGUCCAACCUGUUGCUGUAUGUUUGGUUUCUGUGUUUCCCCUCUCCUUUUGUCGGAUCAUUACCUCUUUCCUUGAUUCUUGUUGGCGUUUACCAAAGGCCCUCUACGUUUUCCUAUGGAUUUCUUGGAAGAUUUUUUUUCCAGGCUGUGAGCUCUGCUUCUCUGCACUGGUCCCGCCCAUGUUCCCUGUUUCAUAACUUCUCCCAGACUUGACAGAACCAGGCAGAGCUACUCUGGAGCAGAGAUUGACAACCCUGUCAGCUGGAGUGACACAGAGUGAUGAAUGAGAGAGAAGCCGAUGGCCCGUCACAAAGAGACAAAACAUCUAAAGUGCAAAUAUGGAGACAGAUCCGUAGCAUCUUAUUUAUAAAUCAAACUGUCUAGACGUGCAAUUUAUUAAAAGAAAAACAGUGAUUAUUUUCAAGGUUUGUGAAUGCAACUCGUUGUAUUGGCGAUAAUUAAUAAAAGGCGAAGGCCAGUGGGUCACUCUGUACUAGACAGACAGAGCCUAAAGGGUUUUUGCUGCCAUGUGUGGCAGAUCUGUCAGCUGAAGCAAGUUUGGGACUGGCAACAUGCCCAGGAUGGCUUUGGAGCCUGUCUACAGCACAUCAGACUUGACCUAAACAUCAGUUGGAAACAGACUGGCUCAUUUCUUAUGCCUUAACAUCUUCCAUUUUAAUUACUUUGACAGUGACAGCCUGCACAAGAUAAAGAGCAUGUAAAUGAUUUGAUUAACAAUCCCUGUUGUUGACAUGAAACUGAUAAAUAAACUUACAUGCAGGUUGGAUAUACAUAUUUUGAUAUCCAUA